This 253-nucleotide ribosomal RNA is filed under the name uncultured bacterium. RNAcentral describes it as "partial 16S ribosomal RNA". It matches the Rfam family "Bacterial small subunit ribosomal RNA", at positions 524 to 776 of the family's 1533-position model. The record is from RNAcentral.
UACGUAGGGACCGAGCGUUGUCCGGAAUCAUUGGGCGUAAAGAGCGUGUAGGCGGCCUUUUAAGUCCUGCGUGAAAUCCUGCGGCUCAACCGCAGACGGUCGUGGGAAACUGGAAGGCUAGAGUGCGGGAGAGGAGAGUGGAAUUCCCGGUGUAGCGGUGAAAUGCGCAGAUAUCUGGAGGAACACCAGUGGCGAAGGCGGCAUCCUGGACCGGUAUUGACGCUGAGGCGCGAAAGCUAGGGUAGCAAACGGG